RNAcentral lists this long non-coding RNA (1679 nucleotides) under Anas platyrhynchos platyrhynchos (common mallard). RNAcentral describes it as "lncRNA (ENSAPLG00000025065.1)". The record is from RNAcentral. Lineage: Eukaryota; Metazoa; Chordata; Aves; Anseriformes; Anatidae.
AAAAAGGAAGCCAACUAUCUGGUCAGAUUUGUGAUGCGCAGUUGAUGAGAAACAGAAGCCUAAAAUGCUGAUCAGAAAUCCAGAACUAGUUCAAUGGAAAGAAGUCCUGGAUUCACUGGAAGAAGAAUUGUGUUGCAGUUCUGGGCUGUGACUCCAGAAGGAAUUAGGGGCUCAAAGGGACUCUGAUGGGAACAUGUUCAGUGGAAGCAGCUGAAAAGCAUUACGUGGCCCUUCAACCAACCUGGUGAGUCCAAAAGCUCCUGCUCCUAUUUUAGCAUGGGCGGAUGGGCCACAUCCAUGGGCUAUAGUUCAUCCUAGAAUUCCAUCAAUUUGGAAGGAACCAGGCUAUCAGUGCAGAUGCAGAUGCCACAGAAUCACAGAAUGGUGUAGAUUGGAAGGCAACUCUGGAGGUCACCUGAUCCAUCCCCUCCUGCUCAAACAAGUUGUCUGCAUUUACCCGGACAAAUAUCAUGAUGGGAGCCUGAUCUUCAUGGCUGUACACAGGCAAGAUAUACUUAAGACAGUAAUACGAUACACACAGAGAAAUGGAAGACGAAGACAUGAUCAGACCAUAGUCAUAAAUUGCAUAGCUACCACCUUGGUUCAUGCAGCCCUGAUAACCAAAUGUAAAGCUUUGAAAACAAAGAUAAUCCUUCUGACUGUAACAAAAUGUGCCUGAAUAACAAUCAUAGAAUCAUAGAAUAUCCUGAGGGGGACUAAACAAGGGACUAAAAAUAAUGGAAAAAAGCUUCAGAACAUUUUCUUUUCUUGACUGCCAUUUUGAGAUGUGAAGAAAAGAGAACAGCAUUAUAAUUAAAGGAACGUUUCCCCUCUCUUUUUUUGUAAAUAUCCUAAUGGAACAUUUUGACCUGAUCUGAAAGAUUUUGACAAGCUCAUGUUGUGACGUGAGUGUCGGGUUGCCCAGCAAUGCCAACCCAUAGAAGGAAGCAGGCAUGAUCCUGCAUUUGAAAUUGCUUUGGGUACAAAUAAGGGCUGUAUUCUAUAAGUAGUCAAGAGCCAAUGGGAGAUUUGGAGAUCAAGGAGAAAGCAUUAGCCUUUAUGAGGUGAAAUAUUUAGUACUAGCAUUUAAGGACUUAAAUAUCUUUUAGAGUAUGGCUCUUAACUAUUAUUUACCUAGUGAUUUAUAGCUCAGUUCUCCAUGCGGCAAGAAAGUCUGGUCUUGCAGCAGACUAAAGUAGCCCUGUGUGUCUCCUGUUUCCUUAUUCUUUGCACUUUUCUUUGUUUCUUUUAUUGGACUUUCUUUUUAUACCUCCCUCCUUGCAUUAAGUCCGUAGACCUGUCACAUGGGUUUCAUGCCCACCUUUAUAGAUGUUACAUCCACCAGAACAUCCAGUGUUGAAAUAGUUAGCAUCAAAGUGACCUUGCAGGACUUUCAAGCUAACAGUUUCAUAAGACACUGAUGGAUAAGAGGACGGAUGAUCCUGGUGAGAAAUGCUUUAGGAUCUCUCAAGUUUAGGCAAUCAUCACUGUAUCAGUUUGUUAAGAAGUUUAUCACAGCAGCCAUGGGCUAUAAAAAUACGAACCCAGAAGGAAGGACCUACUCUGAGGGACUUGCCACAGCCCUCAGCGAAAGCUUCGACCCUCAGGAGGGCCAGGAGCCCAUGAAUGGACAGGACGAAGGUGUUACCUGACGGUGCAGGUGGAAGGACCCUGUGUUU